This 261-nucleotide ribosomal RNA is filed under the name uncultured prokaryote. RNAcentral describes it as "partial 16S ribosomal RNA". It matches the Rfam family "Bacterial small subunit ribosomal RNA", at positions 524 to 784 of the family's 1533-position model. The record is from RNAcentral.
UACGGAGGAUCCGAGCGUUAUCCGGAUUUAUUGGGUUUAAAGGGUGCGCAGGCGGGAGAUUAAGUCGGUGGUGAAAUUUUGCAGCUCAACUGUAAAAGUGCCAUUGAUACUGGUUUUCUUGAGUGUGGAUGAAGUAGGCGGAAUUUGUGGUGUAGCGGUGAAAUGCAUAGAUAUCACGAGGAACUCCGAUUGCGCAGGCAGCUUACUAAACCAUAACUGACGCUCAGGCACGAAGGCGUGGGGAUCAAACAGGAUUAGAUA